RNAcentral lists this ribosomal RNA (460 nucleotides) under uncultured bacterium. Its description in RNAcentral is "partial 16S ribosomal RNA". It matches the Rfam family "Bacterial small subunit ribosomal RNA", at positions 338 to 795 of the family's 1533-position model. The record is from RNAcentral.
CCUACGGGAGGCAGCAGUGAGGAAUAUUGGUCAAUGGACGAGAGUCUGAACCAGCCAAGUAGCGUGAAGGAUGACUGCCCUAUGGGUUGUAAACUUCUUUUAUAUGGGAAUAAAACGUUCCACGUGUGGGAUUUUGUAUGUACCAUAUGAAUAAGGAUCGGCUAACUCCGUGCCAGCAGCCGCGGUAAUACGGAGGAUCCGAGCGUUAUCCGGAUUUAUUGGGUUUAAAGGGAGCGUAGGUGGAUUGUUAAGUCAGUUGUGAAAGUUUGCGGCUCAACCGGAAAAUUGCAGUUGAAACUGGCAGUCUUGAGUACAGGAGAGGUGGGCGGAAUUCGUGGUGUAGCGGUGAAAUGCUUAGAUAUCACGAAGAACUCCGAUUGCGAAGGCAGUUCACUGGACUGCAACUGACACUGAGGCUCGAAAGUGUGGGUAUCAAACAGGAUUAGAUACCCCAGUAGUC